RNAcentral lists this ribosomal RNA (280 nucleotides) under uncultured Ascomycota. RNAcentral's name for it is "partial 18S ribosomal RNA". It matches the Rfam family "Eukaryotic small subunit ribosomal RNA", at positions 548 to 834 of the family's 1831-position model. The record is from RNAcentral. Lineage: Eukaryota; Fungi; Ascomycota.
UUGGAGGGCAAGUCUGGUGCCAGCAGCCGCGGUAAUUCCAGCUCCAAUAGCGUAUAUUAAAGUUGUUGCAGUUAAAAAGCUCGUAGUUGAACCUUGGGCCCAGCCGGCCGGUCCGCCUCACCGCGUGCACUGGCUCGGCCGGGCCUUUCCUUCUGGAGAACCCGGUGCCCUUUAUUGGGUGUCGUGGGGAACCAGGACUUUUACUCUGAAUAAAUUAGAUCGCUUAAAGAAGGCUCUUGCUUGAAUAUUCUAGCAUGGAAUAAUAGAAUAGGACGUGUGG